RNAcentral lists this ribosomal RNA (769 nucleotides) under uncultured soil bacterium. Its description in RNAcentral is "bacterial SSU rRNA". It matches the Rfam family "Bacterial small subunit ribosomal RNA", at positions 8 to 808 of the family's 1533-position model. The record is from RNAcentral.
AGAGUUUGAUCCUGGCUCAGAAUCAGCGCUGGCGGCGCGCUUAACACAUGCAAGUCGAACGAGAAAGUGGAGCAAUCCAUGAGUAAAGUGGCGCACGGGUGAGUAACACGUGGGUAAUCUACCCUCUGGUGGGGAAUAACUCUGGGAAACCGGAGCUAAUACCGCAUAAGACCGGGAGGUGAAAGGUCGAAAGAUCGCCGGAGGAGGAGCCCGCGGCUGAUUAGCUAGUUGGUAGGGUAAGAGCCUACCAAGGCUGAGAUCGGUAGCCGGCCUGAGAGGGCACACGGCCACACUGGCACUGAAACACGGGCCAGACUCCUACGGGAGGCAGCAGUGGGGAAUCUUGCACAAUGGAGGAAACUCUGAUGCAGCGACGCCGCGUGAGUGAUGAAGCCCUUCGGGGUGUAAAGCUCUUUCGACCCGGAAGAUAAUGACGGUACGGGGAGAAGAAGCUGCGGCUAACUACGUGCCAGCAGCCGCGGUAAUACGUAGGCAGCGAGCGUUGUUCGGAGUUACUGGGCGUAAAGCGUGCGUAGGCGGUGUCUUAAGUUUGUUGUGAAAUCUCCCGGCUUAACCGGGAGGGUGCGGCGAAUACUGAGAUGCUGGAGUGCCGGAGAGGUAAGCGGAAUUCCUGGUGUAGCGGUGAAAUGCGUAGAUAUCAGGAGGAACACCUGCGGUGUAGACGGCUUACUGGACGGUAACUGACGCUGAGGCACGAAAGCGUGGGUAGCAAACAGGAUUAGAUACCCUGCAGUCCACGCCCUAAACG